Molecule: RNA transcript, 2509 nt
Organism: Dama dama (fallow deer)
Lineage: Eukaryota; Metazoa; Chordata; Mammalia; Artiodactyla; Cervidae
Gene name: olfactory receptor 6A2-like
Exons: 2
Source: RefSeq, a predicted model, not a curated record
UCCACUGGCCCCUGAAAUCUCUGCGGAAUGAAAACUGGGAGCUCCUGCCGGCUGGAGCACCUGGACACGGGGCAGAGAUGAGAGGCUGGGGCUUCUGUUCCCCAGACACGCUCUCCAGAGGUGACCAGCCUGCAACCGACAGGGUGUGAGUCCAGCAUCAAGCCUGGGCCCACUCGGGGCCAUGUUCGAGGCUCUUACAGUGGACACAAAGCUAAAGUCAGUCACACCACCAAUGAGCGGCUGGUCUGUAAAUGGGUUUUGGAGGCCUGGAAGCUCACAGGGAUGUCCAGAGGGCCCAGGACAGAGAAACAGGCUAGCGGGGCAGAUGGGAGCAGCACAGGAGGAGAGAGACCCGGCUGCCCAGUAAGGUGGGGUGGGGGCUGACUCCCGCCUGAGGAUCCAGCCCUUCCGAGCCCGUGAGAACAAUUUCCUGUAACAGGAAGGAAGCCACCGCCAGCCGUGGCAGCCCCUUGACUGUCCCCUGGGUUGGAGGGGUGGAGACCCACACAGAAUGGUCCUGCCCCAGAGCACGCCUGCGGGGCCAGGCUCAGACGGAACUGGCAGAACUGGCAUGGAAUCCCGUGGCUGAGGGCUGAAGUCACAGCUCAUGUGUCCAGGGCUAUGAGGGGACCCAGGGUGGGGGGACUUGGUCCCUGGGUGCUGCUAACCCUCUGGAGCCUGCUUCUCCUCGGGAACAUGUGCCAGCCUUCCGGGGGCCUGCCGAGCGCUGCAGUGUAACCGUGGGUAAACUUGGCAGGGCUGUCAUCACAUGCACAGGGUGCCCUCACCUGGGGAGACAGUGAGCCCACCCGGAUGCCCCACUCACUUGCCCACUGUCCCUGACCAGAGGCCCUGGGCCAUGGCCCCCACCCAUCCCGGCGAAGCCUGCCAGCAGGUCCCCAGAUCAAGCUCUGAGGUGUCCUACAGGUGACCCACUCCCACUCCCCACAAUAACCGCGUCUGCCUGCCGGCGGCCAGGCAGGCUAGCGGCCCCAGAGCAGACAUCUGCCCAGCACCCACCAAGCACCCGUAGGAAACUCAUGGUGCCGUGGACCCGGCGUGGGCAGCCGUGAGGAUGCAGACAAGGGUCAGGACCCCUCCUCACAGGGAGCUGGGCACCACAUGGGAGGCACGACGCCUAAUCCGCCACCUCUGCCCCCAAGCAGGGCCAUGCGGGCCCCAUCCGCGGGGGCCAACCACUCGGAGGUGACCGAGUUCAUCCUGGUGGGCUUCCCGGGCUCGCUGGGCCUCCACGUGUGCCUGCUGGUGCUGUUCCUGCUGGUCUACCUGCUGACCAUCACCGAGAACCUGCUCAUCAUUGCCGUGGUCCAUGCCAGCCCCGCGCUGCACAAGCCCAUGUACGUCUUCCUCAGCAACCUGUCCUUCCUGGAGGUGUGGUACGUCUCCGUCACAGUGCCCAGGAUGCUGCUCAGCCUGGUGGUGCCCGGGUCUCGCCGCAUCUCCUUUGCAGGCUGCAUGGCUCAGCUGUACUUCUUCCUGGCGCUGGCCUGCACCGAGUGCGCCCUCCUGGGCGUCAUGGCCUACGACCGCUACGUGGCCAUCUGCAGCCCACUGCGCUACCCAGCCAUCAUGAGUCCCAGCCUCUGCAGCCUCCUGGCCGCCGGCUCCUGGCUCUCGGGCUUCACCAUCUCUGUGGGGAAGGUCUUCUUCAUCGCGCGGCUGGGCUACUGCGGCCCCAACAUCAUGAACCACUUCUUCUGCGACGUGUCGCCCCUGCUGAACCUGGCGUGCUCCGACGUGGCCCUGGCCGAGCUGGUGGACUUCCUCCUGGCGCUGCUCAUCCUGCUUGGGCCCCUGCUGCUCACCGUCUCCUCCUACACGGCCAUCAUCAGUGCCGUGCUGCACGUCCCCUCCGCCGCCGGCCGGCGCAAGGCCUUCUCCACCUGCGCCGCGCACCUGGCCGUGGUGGUCAUCUUCUACUCCGCCUCCCUCUUCAUCUACGCCCGGCCUCGUGCCAUCUACUCCUUUGACCUCCACAAGCUGGUGUCCGUGGUCUACACGGUGCUCACGCCCCUGCUCAACCCCAUCAUCUACUGCUUGCGGAACCGGGAGGUCAAGGAGGCCCUGCACAAGGUGGUACAGAGGGCAGCCCAGGCCCGGGGCGCCCCCUCCUAGGACACGCUCCCACGUGCCCCGGGACCCCUCUCAGACAGACAGGACUGCCUACCGGGCCGGGAGACAGUGCUGGGCAGCCCAAGGCUCUGCGAGGGAGGCACUCUGCACCAUCUACAGGAAAGAUGAGGGGAACAGAGCCUCAGCACUGCGGGUGGGGGACCAAGUCCAUGCUUUGCCCCUUCACUGAGGGUAGAGCCCACCACGGGGCCUCGCCCUGGGAGAGCUGGCACUGACCACCCCAUCGCUGCAGCAGGUCCAGGUUCCGAAAGUCCAGCCACUCAGCCAUCAUGGCAGACGUCCCCCAGGAGGUGCCUAACGUCAGCAAUUACAGGCAGCGCUCAGCCUGGAUCUGGGGCUCCAGAUGGAAGGCGCC